RNAcentral lists this small nucleolar RNA (208 nucleotides) under Moschus moschiferus (Siberian musk deer). Its description in RNAcentral is "Small nucleolar RNA U3 (ENSMMSG00000006486.1)". It matches the Rfam family "Small nucleolar RNA U3". Rfam says of the family: Small nucleolar RNAs (snoRNAs) are involved in the processing and modification of rRNA in the nucleolus. Lineage: Eukaryota; Metazoa; Chordata; Mammalia; Artiodactyla; Moschidae. The record is from Rfam by way of RNAcentral.
AAGACUACGCUUUCAGGCAUCGUCUGUAGUUGGUUACUGGAGUUUCUCUGACUGGGUAGACCACCUGAAGCCACGCGGAGGAGAUGCAGCUUCUCUCCCGAGCGUGGAGCAGCUCUUGGUGUCACCUUUUCAGUGGCCACUGGCCUUUGAUGAUCAUUUCAUCUCUUCCUUGGGGAGAGUAAGAGGGAGGGAAUGCUGUCUGAGUGGC